GAGGGUAUAGCUCAGUGGUUAAGUGUGUGCUUGGCAUGUGCAAGGUCCUGGGUCCAAUCCCCAGUACCACUG
RNAcentral lists this transfer RNA (72 nucleotides) under Camelus bactrianus (Bactrian camel). It matches the Rfam family "tRNA". From Rfam's summary of the family: Transfer RNA (tRNA) molecules are approximately 80 nucleotides in length. The record is from Rfam by way of RNAcentral. RNAcentral also lists the same sequence under 2 other names. Lineage: Eukaryota; Metazoa; Chordata; Mammalia; Artiodactyla; Camelidae.